CAAAAAGAAGCGGACUAGAGGACCAUGUAGACAACAGGUGCCCUAAAAGAAGAAUCCAAUGUCCCCUCCUUUGUGGAAGGGAAUGUACCAGGAGACAAAUGGGACACCACAUCCUGACAGAAUGCAGGAGAAGGUGGGAGGAAUGCCACAUACCCGGCUGUGGCGCCGUCACCCAGGACCAACUGGAGCACGAGAGGCAGGAGGUCACCACCCACAAUUUCCUGCUGCGUCAGGUCGGGGCACGUGGCGAUGGGGAGCACAUGGUGCAUGGCCCCCUGCACAGCUUGCAG
Long non-coding RNA from Branchiostoma belcheri (Belcher's lancelet), 290 nucleotides. RefSeq lists it as uncharacterized. The record is from RefSeq and is a predicted model, not a curated record. Lineage: Eukaryota; Metazoa; Chordata; Leptocardii; Amphioxiformes; Branchiostomatidae. The transcript has 3 exons.